This 1107-nucleotide long non-coding RNA is filed under the name Chinchilla lanigera (long-tailed chinchilla). Its description in RNAcentral is "lncRNA (ENSCLAG00000023954.1)". Lineage: Eukaryota; Metazoa; Chordata; Mammalia; Rodentia; Chinchillidae. The record is from RNAcentral.
CGAUGGUGAAUUUUUCAAAGUUCACAUUUGCGGCAAACAGAAUUAUUUUGAUACUUACUAAUCUAUUUAUUUUUCAUUUUACAGGUAGUUCAGGCUGCCAAGUUCAGAGAGCUAUUUAGUAUAGCUAACGAUUCCUGUUUUUCUUCACAGUGACAAGCUGCCUUAAGAUAACUCGAGAUGUGUUCUGAGUUUGAGCUCCUUUCUUCCCUUGAAGUGUCCAGUGUUAGCAGAUAAGUCGAGAUUCAGAGAUCAUUAUCGGUUAAUUACCAGCUAGUAUCCCAAAAAAUGCAAGGUCCACGGGCAUCUAAGACACCCACGGUCACAUCCUUUCCUGACCUUGCCGCAGGACAGGGAAUGCUCCUUUUUCCCUGUUCUCCAGGGAAUGCGCUGACCCCACUUCUCUUUACGGAGCGGGUGAUGCUUACGUUGUCCCUGUGUUCGUGUCCUCCGUAAGUUGGUGAGCAUUGUUCAGUGUUCUCCUUUUCCUCUUUCACUUCUCACCUUGGCUGUUACAGCUGCUGGGAAGCCGUCUGGGCAGCCUGAGAAGGGAUGUGGCUCUGGGCUGCCAUGUUGCGUGACUGCAGAGGGCCUCACUCACGCUAUGUUGUGGAUGGCUGCUGACCUGUCCUGAAGUUUGGCAAAGAGGCCACCCUUCUACCGCCCAGAAGCCCAACUCAUCUACUCUUGCUGUACCCCAUGUUUACCACUUCCCAUUGACUUCAGCAUGGAUUGUAAUUGUUUCUUUUCUUGUCCACAUCACCUCAGGAACGGGGACCAUAACACUGAACUUGACCCUGAGAGUAUACUCAGUAAAGGCCCCAGAGGCCUGAAUUGUGCUGUUGAGUUGGGUGGCUGCGGAUCCUGUACUAUGUCUCUAGGUUUAAGAAGGGUGAAGCCGCAGAGUGAUUCCCUGAUGUCAUCCACCGUGUUUGUGAUCGCGGACCUCCUCCUUCCUAAAAAUGGUGAGAGACAGUCUCCAGUACGGAGAUUUGGAGUAACAUUUGAGACAGCAACAAGGUUUUUUAGAUUUAUUCAAUAAUGGCCUAAAGAAGCUAUAAGUCAGCACUGGGUUCCACCAUCUCUUUUAAAAUGAUGCCCCGAAAGCAA